UACUUUCUGACUUAGGUGAGACCUCAGGU
Molecule: non-coding RNA, 29 nt
Filed under: Mus musculus (house mouse)
Lineage: Eukaryota; Metazoa; Chordata; Mammalia; Rodentia; Muridae
Source: RNAcentral